GAGAAUCCCGUCCACCGAUUGACUAAGGUUUCCAGAGGAAGGCUCGUCCGCUCUGGGUUAGUCGGGUCCUAAGCUGAGGCCGACAGGCGUAGGCGAUGGAUAACAGGCUGAUAUUCCUGUACCACCUAUAAUCGUUUUAAUCGAUGGGGGGACGCAGUAGGAUAGGCGAAGCGUGCGAUUGGAUUGCACGUCUAAGCAGUAAGGCUGAGUAUUAGGCAAAUCCGG
Molecule: ribosomal RNA, 225 nt
Filed under: Staphylococcus aureus
Lineage: Bacteria; Bacillati; Bacillota; Bacilli; Caryophanales; Staphylococcaceae
Description: partial 23S ribosomal RNA
Rfam family: Bacterial large subunit ribosomal RNA
Source: RNAcentral